AGAGUUUGAUCCUGGCUCAGGAUGAACGCUAGCUACAGGCUUAACACAUGCAAGUCGAGGGGCAGCAUUGGAGUAGCUUGCUAUUCCAGAUGGCGACCGGCGCACGGGUGCGUAACACGUAUCCAAUCUACCCAUGGCUCGGGAAUAGCCUUUCGAAAGAAAGAUUAAUGCCCGAUGGUCUGCGAUUGAGACAUCUCGAUUACAGUAAAGAUUUAUCGGCGAUGGAUGAGGAUGCGUCCGAUUAGGUAGUAGGCGGGGUAACGGCCCACCUAGCCUACGAUCGGUAGGGGUUCUGAGAGGAAGGUCCCCCACAUUGGAACUGAGACACGGUCCAAACUCCUACGGGAGGCAGCAGUGAGGAAUAUUGGUCAAUGGGCGAGAGCCUGAACCAGCCAAGUAGCGUGAGGGAUGACUGCCCUAUGGGUUGUAAACCUCUUUUGUAUGGGAAUAAAGUCCACUACGUGUAGUGGUUUGUAUGUACCUUACGAAUAAGCAUCGGCUAAUUCCGUGCCAGCAGCCGCGGUAAUACGGAAGAUGCGAGCGUUAUCCGGAUUUAUUGGGUUUAAAGGGAGCGUAGGCGGGCCUUUAAGUCAGCGGUUAAAUGUCAGUGCCCAACGUUGGCAUGCCGUUGAUACUGGAGGUCUUGAAUACACACAAGGACGGUGGAAUUCGUCGUGUAGCGGUGAAAUGCUUAGAUAUGACGAAGAACUCCGAUUGCGAAGGCAGCCAUCUGGGGUGCGAUUGACGCUGAGGCUCGAAAGUGCGGGUAUCAAACAGGAUUAGAUACCCUGGUAGUCCGCACCGUA
Molecule: ribosomal RNA, 806 nt
Filed under: uncultured bacterium
Lineage: Bacteria
Description: bacterial SSU rRNA
Rfam family: Bacterial small subunit ribosomal RNA
Source: RNAcentral